GUCGCCCAGGCUGCGGCCGAGGCCCUCAGUGUGUCCUGCAUGUGCCCCAACCUCAAGGGUGACCUUGAUCCUAGACCUUGGCCCCGCCUUGGCCUGCAACCAGGCACAGCACUGGGCCCAGACGCUUUGACUGCGCAGGAGGCGGGGCUCAGCCAGGCUCUGAGGCCUCUUUGUUCAGGGGCUCCCCAGGGCCCAGCUCAGCCGCCCACACAAGCAUGCAGGGGCCUCCCUGACCCUGGCCCUGGAAAAGGACCUGCCUCACCACCAACCAGCAGCCAGACCUGGGCUGCCAGGCCAGGAGGCCAGGCCUCUGAUGGUGCCCCCCCAGGGCACCUGCCGGAUCCCACUGCAAGUCUGCAGCCCUGCCCUGCAGUCCUCGAAGGGCCUAUUUUCCGGUGAAGAGAUGGAGACUCCGGGAGACCACAGGCUUGCAAGGGACGGCAAACCCGAGAACUGGAAGGCCCCCAAUUCCCAGGAGCUCAAAUGAUACGCCUGAGAAAACCAUGGGGAUUAUGGAAGGAUACUUCCGUUUGUUUUGGAAGGCAAGGCUGCACGCUGGGAACUCUGCAGGAGGUGAGCCAGAAUAAUGGAAAGAAUGUGGGUGUUGGAGCCCCACAGUUCCCAGCUCAAAUUCUGGUUCUGUCUGGUAUAGCUGUGUGACCUUGGGCAGGCUGUCUGACCUCUCUGUGCCUCUUCACGUAGCAGCACCCACUUCAGCUGUGAGAGAACACAGUCCAGCCCAUACCCAGAGCCUGGCCCAUAUCAGGUAUCAACAGAGGGUACCCACUGGCUUUCUCAUUGUCCUCUCCCAGAUCACACCAGGGCCCUCACCUAGGGGCCCUCAGAGCUGUGACACCAGUGGGCCUCAACACACUCAGGUCAGGAUCUCUCACUCUGGACUCCUGGUCCCCUCUUGGUGAAGUGGCAGGAGGUGCCCAGUCAGGCCAGGUGGUUUUGCCGUGCAGGGCUGGGGGUGGACUUCCUGGGCUGGUAGGGUGUUCAGCAACCUGCAAGUCACCUGAUGCAGCUGUCCCUCCCUGCCUGCUUGUGACCCUCAACACUGUGUCCAGACAUUGCCAAAUGUCCCCUGAGCAGGUGAGAAGUAGCACCUACUGUGUGCCUGGUGUGCUGUGGGCUCUGUGGGCGGCAGGACCCUGCCCACCAGGCCUCAUCUCCCCCUCAGGGACAUCUGACCAGCCUCCACACGGAAGCGACCAAGUUUAACGGGCACGCACACACCUGUCCCACACGCCAGACCCACGGGGUCUCUGCUGGGGCAUCAUCUGACCCUCCAGGGAGAGGCGUUUGGUCUCCCAACAGCCUUGGGGAUGAGUUUUAGGGACAGAGGCCCAGAGAUGGUGAAUGACCUGCCUGAGGUCAGGCUGCAACUUAGAACCAAGUACCUUCCCACUGGGGCAAUUGAGAGGCGCCGUUUAUAAUGUUAGCUACACUAGCUAGCCAAGGCCACCCUGGAUCCCAGGGGACAGGCAGCCUCUGGAAGGACAGGCUCUGAGGCUAUGUGUGAGUGGAAGGAUCCCCACGGACCUUAAGCUCUGAUUCUUAUCGACUGGCGGCCUCUGAGCCUUGCCUCGCAUACCUGUAAAAUGGGAAUAACUGCAACUAACCCAGAGCGUGCCUGUGGAGUUUUGGUGAGUUCCUGACACAUAGUAGGUGCUCAGUAAAUGGCAGCCAUAAUGCUUGUUGCUGCUGUUAUCUUGAAGAAUACAGGAAGCCACCCCUCUGCCAGGUGGGCUGACCCCAAAGCCUGCCAAUAGCCAGGCUCCCUAGGGCUGCUGUGGGGGGCUCCACGGGGAGCUCCUGUGUAGCCCCACAAGGAGCAGGGGAUGUCUGAGACUUGGGGGCAACAGUGCCCCCUACUGGACAGUUUGCAGAGGCGUGGGGGUGGGGGUGCUGGCCACGGGACUCACUGAGCUGGCUGGGCCUGGCUGGCACCUCCACCAGCCAGAGUGAGAGCCUGCUGGCCAAGGAGCAGCUCCCGAGGACCGUCCCGGGGCUAGCCCCCUUCCAGGUGUCCUUUUGUGGCACCCUCCCCACAUCCUCCAGGGACGGCCUUUCUCGAUUCGGCUGCUGGGUUCGUUCUCCCAUUUCUCCGAGACUCAGCUGUGGCAUCAUCCCGGGGGGAACAGGCGCGGACGACCCUGCACAGACUAGCGGGUGGUUAGCGGGCACACGCCACUGCCCGUCUGGCUGGGGGAGCACAGGUGGCCCUUUGUUGCAGGUGACCCUCGGCCUCCGCGGCAACCUGCCUUCCCGGGGCGUGCAGAGGGGUCGGUGGUGUGAGCGGCUGCUCAGCUAAUGCCCCGCCCCGGAAGUGGAGAAGCCUCCUCUCUGUCUGUCUCUCCAAGUUGCCAGAACCUUCUUCUCAGCCAGUACUUAGUAAGCUUGCCAGGGAGCAGAGGGCAGCCCCGUGCCAGAGCAGCCUGGAGAAGCCAGCUCUCAGGCGGGAUCCCUGGGCUCAUGGGAGGAGAGUCCCCUGGCACUUCUGCAGCAGGUGGGGGCAGAACCCCCUCCGGUGUGGGAGUGGCCAGCCGGGGGCUACCUGCGUCCUCGUGCUUUUUAGUGACAAGCAACGUCCUUGCGCCAGGAGCUGGAUUUUCCUCAGCGGGAAGGGAUAAAAAUGCUGUAGAUGGGCUUUCCCGAUGCCAGUGUGAGAGGCUCAUCUGUGAGAUGCUGUCCUCGUCUGCUGUGAGGCCGAGGAGGUGGAGGGCAGGAGAGAGGGAUCCAGGGGUCUCAGGUGACCUCUGCCCGGCCCGCGGUGUCUGCCAUUGGGGCCUGUCGCUGGCAUCUGGAGAUCUCCCUCGGAGUCUCUCGGCACCCUCUGGCUCCCGUCUGUGCUUAAUGAGAGGGGCUAUCUGGUAGAGCUGCGUGUAGGGCAGAGGGACAAGGGGCAGCUGGGUGACAGAUUCCUACCUGUGCCUCUUGGCCAUCGGCCUGUUGACAGACUGGGUUCCAGUUUCCAUCAGCUGGUGACCUCAGGGGGUCCCCGUCACUGCUCUGGGCUCUGAGAGGGCGAGAUAGUGGAGGCUCCAGACCCCCAGGGCCUGCGCUUGCUCCCUGCCCUCCCUUCCUGCUCCCCCGCCCACGGCCCUUGAGGGAUUCCCCGGAGAGUCGGAGGAGGCCGGCUCCUGUCAAGGUGCGGCAGCGCGGUGCUCCUGGUCCACUCCUCCCUUCUCCCCUUGGGUCCUCUGUGUUGGCUUUCAGCUGGCCUCAGAGACCAAACUAAAAUUGAAUUCGAUUUUCCCAGGGUUUUAUCAGUCUUGAGCAGGUUACUUUCAGGCAGCAAGAAUAAUGACAUAGGUUUCUCAUCCUUCCUCUAAAAGAGUUCUUUUUUUUUAAUAGAGUCUUCCCCCCCGCAAAUUAGAGUCUUCCCCCAGAGACUAAGAACCAUGCUCAUUCAAUCAAAAGCAGAGUGUUCUUGAACACUCCGGGGGACACUGCCCCCAGAAGACACUUGUGUCUGUCACAGCUGGGACACUGUGCUCUCCUCUAGCGAGUAGGUGACACCCUCAAGGCAGAGGACGGCCUUCCACAAAUGGUUAUCUGGCGCCGAUGCCAGUAGCUACAAACUGGUCUUAAACAGCAGACAGAGCAGAAUGGCCAUUACCGAGAAUACAGGCAACAGUCCAUGUUGGCGAGGCCGUGGGGAAGGCUCACUCGCACACGGCUGGCGGGACUGCAUGCAGCCACUCUGGAAAGAGGAAGGGAGAUUCCUCAGAAAUCUGGGAAUGGAACCACCAUUCAACCCAGUUAUCCCUGUACCCAAGGGACUUAAAAUCAGUAUACUACAGUGACACAGCCACAUGGAUGUUUAUAGCAGCUCAACUCACAGUAGCUAAGCUAUGGAACCAACCCAGGUGCCCUUUGACAGACGAAUGGAUAAAGAAAAUGUGGUACAUAUACACAAUGGAGUAUCACCCCGCCUUAAAGAAGAAUGAGAUUAUGGCAUUUGCUGGUAAAUGGAUGGAGGGGAGAAUAUCAGGCUAAGUGAAAUAAGUCAAUUCCAGAAAAACUAAAGGCCGGAUGUUCUCUCUGAUAUGCGGAUGCUAACACACAAGGGCUGAGAGGGAAGUGCAGAAGUUCACUGGAUUAGACAAGAGGAAUGAAGGGAAGGGAGAGGGAAUGUUCUGGAAUAGGUAGGACAAUGGAAUGAAUCAGACAGAACUUUCCCAUGUUCAUAUAUGAAUACACGACCAGUGAAACCCCACAUCAUGCACAACCACAAGGACGGGAUCCUAUUAGAAUAAGCCAUACUCCAUGUGUGCAUAAUACGUCAAAAUGCACUCCACUGCCGUCGUACCUGAGAAGAACAAAUUAAGAAAAAUAGACAGGGCUGUGAGCAUCUGCCCUGCAGGAGAGACAAGCACCCAGGCUUCAAACUGACCUUUUGCUAGAACAAUCUGUGAGGAAAAAGUUUUAGGUGUAUGGAGCCCAGGAAAAGGAUCGGUGAUGUGAGCCCUUUGUCUGUUAAACUGAAUAAUAGCUUUCAAAUUCCAGAAGAAUGUAACAGUCACAGAGGCAACACAUUUUUUUUAUAUCUAUUUUUUGGUGUAGUUGGACACAACACAAUGCAUUUUAUUUUUAUGUGGUGCUGAGGAUCAAACCCAGGUCCCGCCCGUGAUAGGGGAGCGCUCCACCGCUGAGCCGCAAUCCCAGCCCCUGCAACACAUUUUUAAACUUAGUUUUCUGGGAAAAAUUGUGGAAGAUUUUGAAAUAGAUAAAAGAUUGCCAGAGAUUCUACUAACAGAACCCCCCAAUAUCUUGCCUGGGUGUGUGUGCCCCUGACUUUGUAUUUAAUGUUUCUGCAAAGAUGUCCACUCAUGGAAAAUGGGAGGUGAUGCAAUACUUGAUGUCCCUGGUGAUGCAAACCGUGACCAUCCAGUACCAUGCAAAUGAGUUUUGUCAGAUAGAAAAGAUAAACCUCUACAAGACAAAUCCUCAUUCGACCCCUUCAAGGGGAUGUCAAACUCAUUAUAAUUAAUGCUAUGAUUAAUGUUUCCAACUCAUCAUAAUUAAUGUUAGAGGAAACAUUUGACUUGCAUUCCCUUUAUCUCUGCAUAAGAGUUGUGGUUUUUUUCCUUCUUUUGUCUUUUUUUUGAAAAUUAUCCUCUAACAAUCUUCAUUAUUAACAUUUUCUCCCUCGUUUCCUUAGGUCUCGACAAUAUCAACAACAUGAUAAACCAAGUUCUCAUCUGUAGCAUCUGCCAAAGUCCAUAAGAGAAAAACUCUGAGAGAUCCUGAUUUAAUUCAAGGGCUGGAGGAGGAGGUGGGGAGAUGAGGACAGCUCCCGCAUCCUGAACGUGACCCGAGGCUGGACGCAAAUCCCAGGCGCUGAGUCCCCCCAGAGCUGAGGCCCCCCGGCACUGAGUCCCCCCAAUACCGAGUCCCCCCAGCACCACGGCGUCCUGCUUACAACACCAAGCAACCCAGAGGCGGCAAGAACGUCUUCUGGCCCUGCUCCUGUCCUGUGGGUCUCCGGCUCCACCUGCUCUGCCCUCUUCCCGGUUCUGUGUGCACGACUUACGCGUUCCUGACCCACGUUUCCCUGGAAGGAUGCUCCUGACUUAUGGGCUUAUUUCCAGCUACAAUCUAGUCCUGCCGCUGCUAGUCUGGGGGACCGUCCCUUUUCUGACUGUCAGAUGAGACCCCUCCUGUAUGGGAAGGGCCCAGACUGGGCCACACACUCUCUACUCACCAUCAGGCCUGGGCCUCCCCUUCUCCUGUGCUCCUGCCCCUCAUGUCCACACCCAGGACCAGGCUAAGGAAGGGCCAGGAGAAGCGGCUGUGUUGUGGGGUGCUAUGGUUUGAUGUGGUCUGUUCUCACCGACUCAUGGGCUCAGUUGCCCAAUGCAACGCAUUAAGAGCUCAUAGAACCUUGAAGAGGAGGGGCCGAGUGGGACACAAUUAGGUCACUGGGAUCCAUGCCCAUUUUGGGUGUUCAGAUUAGGGCUCCAGGGACUAGUUCAGUUCUCACCACUCUUCUGCCGUGUAGUACCGUCUGCCAUGUUAUGAUGCAGCACAAGGCCCUUGUCACAUGUGGCCAUACCAUCUUAGAAUUUUCACCUCCGGAACUCUGAGCUAAAUAAAACUCUUCUCUUUAUAAGCCUCGAAU
RNAcentral lists this long non-coding RNA (6130 nucleotides) under Marmota monax (woodchuck). The record is from RNAcentral. Lineage: Eukaryota; Metazoa; Chordata; Mammalia; Rodentia; Sciuridae.